UAUCUUCAGGGCAAGGUGUAAUUCCUGACCGGCAGUGAUAGUCUGCGAGCGCAAUGCUGAUGCGGUGUGAUUCCGCAACCGACGGUAUAGUCCGGAUGAGAGAAGAU
RNAcentral lists this non-coding RNA (107 nucleotides) under human gut metagenome. RNAcentral's name for it is "FMN riboswitch (RFN element)". It matches the Rfam family "FMN riboswitch aptamer (RFN element)". Rfam says of the family: The RFN element is a highly conserved domain that is found frequently in the 5'-untranslated regions of prokaryotic mRNAs that encode for flavin mononucleotide (FMN) biosynthesis and transport proteins. This element is a metabolite-dependent riboswitch that directly binds FMN in the absence of proteins. In Bacillus subtilis, the riboswitch most likely controls gene expression by causing premature transcription termination within the 5' untranslated region of the ribDEAHT operon and precluding access to the ribosome-binding site of ypaA mRNA. The record is from RNAcentral.